GAACUGAGACACGGUCCAGACACCUACGGGUGGCAGCAGUCGAGAAUCAUUCGCAAUGGGGGAAACCCUGACGAUGCGACGCCGCGUGGAGGAUGAAGGCCUUAGGGUUGUAAACUCCUGUCAAGAGGGAAUAAGCAAGUGAAGGUACCUCUAGAGGAAGGGGCGGCUAAUUCCGUGCCAGCAGCCGCGGUAACACGGAAGCCCCGAGCGUUGUUCGGAUUCAUUGGGCGUAAAGGGUGCGUAGGCGGCGCGGAAAGUCCGGCGUGAAAGGCAGGGGCUCAACCUCUGGACUGCGUUGGAUACUUCCGUGCUUGAGGACUGGAGGGGAGACUGGAAUUCACGGUGUAGCAGUGAAAUGCGUAGAUAUCGUGAGGAAGACCGGUGGCGAAGGCGAGUCUCUGGACAGAUCCUGACGCUGAGGCACGAAGGCUGGGGGAGCGAACAGGAUUAGAUACCCUGGUAGUCCCAGCAGUAAACGAUGUGAGCUUGAUGUGGGGGGAUUCGACCCCUUCCGUGUCGAAGCUAACGCGAUAAGCUCACCGCCUGAGGAGUACGGCCGCAAGGCUAAAACUCAAAGAAAUUGACGGGGACCCGCACAAGCGGUGGAGUAUGUGGCUUAAUUCGAUGCAACGCGAAGAACCUUACCUGGCCUUGACAUGCAUUGUGUCGUCGGUGAAAGCCGGCUAGUCCUGGAAACAGGACGCUUUGCACAGGUGCUGCAUGGCUGUCGUCAGCUCGUGUCGUGAGAUGUUGGGUUAAGUCCCGCAACGAGCGCAACCCUUGUGGUCAGUUACUAACCGGCUUAGCCGGAGGACUCUGGCCAGACUGCCCUGUCAAACGGGGAGGAAGGUGGGGACGACGUCAAGUCAGUAUGGCCCUUAUGGCCAGGGCUGCACACGUACUACAAUGCCCGGUACAAUGUGAACCGAAACCGCGAGGUGGAGGAAAUCGCUCUUGAAAACCGGGCCCAGUUCGGAUUGGAGUCUGCAACUCGACUCCAUGAAGUCGGAAUCGCUAGUAAUGGCGUAUCAGCAACGACGCCGUGAAUACGUUCCCGGGUCUUGUACACACCGCCCGUCACAUCAU
RNAcentral lists this ribosomal RNA (1086 nucleotides) under uncultured organism. Its description in RNAcentral is "bacterial SSU rRNA". It matches the Rfam family "Bacterial small subunit ribosomal RNA", at positions 316 to 1405 of the family's 1533-position model. The record is from RNAcentral.